RNAcentral lists this ribosomal RNA (445 nucleotides) under Klebsiella pneumoniae. RNAcentral describes it as "partial 23S ribosomal RNA". It matches the Rfam family "Bacterial large subunit ribosomal RNA", at positions 2188 to 2631 of the family's 2925-position model. The record is from RNAcentral. Lineage: Bacteria; Pseudomonadati; Pseudomonadota; Gammaproteobacteria; Enterobacterales; Enterobacteriaceae.
AUCCUUGGGAUACCACCCUUGUAGUACUGGGACUCUAACCAUAGGCCAUGAAUCUGGUCUUGGGACACUGUCAGGUGGGCAGUUUGACUGGGGCGGUCGCCUCCCAAAAGGUAACGGAGGCGCUCAAAGGUUCUCUCAGUACGGUCGGAAAUCGUACGUAGAGUGUAAAGGCAAAAGAGAGCUUGAUUGCAAGACAUACAGGUCGAGCAAGGAUGAAAAUCGGACUUAGUGAUCCGGUGGUUCUGCGUGGAAGGGCCAUCGCUCAACGGAUAAAAGCUACCCUGGGGAUAACAGGCUUAUCUCCCCCAAGAGUCCACAUCGACGGGGAGGUUUGGCACCUCGAUGUCGGCUCAUCACAUCCUGGGGCUGUAGUAGGUCCCAAGGGUUGGGCUGUUCGCCCAUUAAAGUGGUACGCGAGCUGGGUUCAGAACGUCGUGAGACAGUU